CCUACGGGUGGCAGCAGUGAGGAAUAUUGGUCAAUGGCCGGAAGGCUGAACCAGCCAAGCCGCGUGAAGGACGAAGGUGCCAAGCGUUGUAAACUUCUUUUGUCAAGGAACAAAAUCAGGCUCGAGAGCCUGACCUAGUAUACUUGAAGAAAAAACAUCGGCUAACUCCGUGCCAGCAGCCGCGGUAAUACGGAGGAGGCGAGCGUUAUCCGGAUUUCUUGGGUUUAAAGGGGGCGUAGACGGGCUGUUAAGUCAGCGGUAAAAGCCCGGGGCUCAACCCCGGCGAGCCGUUGAAACUGGCUGUCUUGAGUUGUCGAGAGGUAUGCGGAAUGCGCAGUGUAGCGGUGAAAUGCUUAGAUAUCGCGAAGAACUCCGAUCGCGAAGGCAGCAUACCGGCGGCGAACUGACGCUGAGGCACGAAAGCGUGGGUAUCGAACAGGAUUAGAUACCCUAGUAGUC
This 459-nucleotide ribosomal RNA is filed under the name uncultured bacterium. RNAcentral's name for it is "partial 16S ribosomal RNA". It matches the Rfam family "Bacterial small subunit ribosomal RNA", at positions 338 to 795 of the family's 1533-position model. The record is from RNAcentral.